This 823-nucleotide ribosomal RNA is filed under the name uncultured Planctomycetota bacterium. Its description in RNAcentral is "bacterial SSU rRNA". It matches the Rfam family "Bacterial small subunit ribosomal RNA", at positions 68 to 896 of the family's 1533-position model. Lineage: Bacteria; Pseudomonadati; Planctomycetota. The record is from RNAcentral.
UCCCACUGCUGUAGCAAUACAGUGGUGGGGGAAGUGGCGAAAGGGGCAGUAAUGCGUGGGUAACCUACCCUGGGGACCGGGAUAGCCCUUCUAACGAGGGGGUAAUACCGGGCAAUGUGACGAGGGGGCAUCUCUUUGUCACCAGAUGAGUUUCGCCCUGGGAGGGGCUCACGUCGUAUUAGCUAGUUGGUGAGGUAACGGCUCACCAAGGCAAAGAUGCGUAGCGGGUGUGAGAGCACGACCCGCGCCACUGGCACUGAGACACUGGCCAGACACCUACGGGUGGCUGCAGCCGAGGAUCUUCGGCAAUGGGCGCAAGCCUGACCGAGCGACGCCGCGUGUGCGAUGAAGGCCUUCGGGUUGUAAAGCACUGUCGAGGGGGAUCAAGGCGCAAGCUUGAGAGAUCCCUGGAGGAAGCACGGGCUAAGUUCGUGCCAGCAGCCGCGGUAAGACGAACCGUGCGAACGUUGUUCGGAAUCACUGGGCUUAAAGGGCGCGUAGGCGGCUCAUCAAGUCGGGGGUGAAAUACUUCAGCUUAACUGGAGAAGUGCCUUCGAUACUGGUGGGCUUGAGGGAGGUAGGGGUCUGUGGAACUUCUGGUGGAGCGGUGAAAUGCGUUGAUAUCAGAAGGAACGCCGGUGGCGAAAGCGACGGACUGGACCUCUUCUGACGCUGAGGCGCGAAAGCUAGGGGAGCAAACGGGAUUAGAUACCCCGGUAGUCCUAGCCCUAAACGAUGGGUACUAGAUUGUGGACUUGACAUGGGUUCACAGUCGAAGCAAAAGUGUUAAGUACCCCGCCUGGGGAGUAUGGUCGCAAGGCUG